Molecule: ribosomal RNA, 806 nt
Filed under: uncultured bacterium
Lineage: Bacteria
Description: bacterial SSU rRNA
Rfam family: Bacterial small subunit ribosomal RNA
Source: RNAcentral
AGAGUUUGAUCCUGGCUCAGGACGAACGCUGGCGGCGUGCCUAAUACAUGCAAGUCGAGCGAAUGGAUUAAGAGCUUGCUCUUAUGAAGUUAGCGGCGGACGGGUGAGUAACACGUGGGUAACCUGCCCAUAAGACUGGGAUAACUCCGGGAAACCGGGGCUAAUACCGGAUAACAUUUUGAACCGCAUGGUUCGAAAUUGAAAGGCGGCUUCGGCUGUCACUUAUGGAUGGACCCGCGUCGCAUUAGCUAGUUGGUGAGGUAACGGCUCACCAAGGCAACGAUGCGUAGCCGACCUGAGAGGGUGAUCGGCCACACUGGGACUGAGACACGGCCCAGACUCCUACGGGAGGCAGCAGUAGGGAAUCUUCCGCAAUGGACGAAAGUCUGACGGAGCAACGCCGCGUGAGCGAAGAAGGCCUUUGGGUCGUAAAGCUCUGUUGUUAGGGAAGAACAAGUACCGUUCAAAUAGGGCGGUACCAUGACGGUACCUGACGAGAAAGCCACGGCUAACUACGUGCCAGCAGCCGCGGUAAUACGUAGGUGGCAAGCGUUGUCCGGAAUUAUUGGGCGUAAAGCGCGCGCAGGCGGUUUCUUAAGUCUGAUGUGAAAGCCCACGGCUCAACCGUGGAGGGUCAUUGGAAACUGGGGAACUUGAGUGCAGAAGAGGAGAGUGGAAUUCCACGUGUAGCGGUGAAAUGCGUAGAGAUGUGGAGGAACACCAGUGGCGAAGGCGACUCUCUGGUCUGUAACUGACGCUGAGGCGCGAAAGCAUGGGGAGCGAACAGGAUUAGAUACCCUGGUAGU